GACGGAGGGCGCAAGCGUUGGUCGGAAUCACUGGGCGUAAAGCGCGUGUAGGCGGCUUGGUCAGUCGGGUGUGAAAGCCCGGGGCCUAACCCCGGAACUGCACUCGAAACUGCCUCGCUCGAGUCCCGGAGAGGAUGGUGGAAUUCCCGGUAGUGGUGAAAUACGUAGAUAUCGGGAGGAACACCAGCGGCGAAGGCGGCCAUCUGGACGGUGACUGACGCUGAGACGCGAAAGCGUGGGGAGCAAACAGG
Molecule: ribosomal RNA, 251 nt
Filed under: uncultured bacterium
Lineage: Bacteria
Description: partial 16S ribosomal RNA
Rfam family: Bacterial small subunit ribosomal RNA
Source: RNAcentral